GGCUGCGUGGCGUUGGUGUAGUUGGUAGCACUGUUGCCUUGCAACAAGAAGGUCCUGGGUUUAAAUCCCAGUAUGGGGUCU
This is a non-coding RNA of Ataeniobius toweri, 81 nucleotides long. Lineage: Eukaryota; Metazoa; Chordata; Actinopteri; Cyprinodontiformes; Goodeidae. The record is from the annotation of a GenBank genome assembly.